Molecule: ribosomal RNA, 464 nt
Filed under: Paropecoelus leonae
Lineage: Eukaryota; Metazoa; Platyhelminthes; Trematoda; Plagiorchiida; Opecoelidae
Description: eukaryotic LSU rRNA
Rfam family: 5.8S ribosomal RNA (bases 3-149)
Source: RNAcentral
GGUACCGGUGGAUCACGUGGCUAGUGUGUCGAUGAAGAGCGCAGCCAACUGUGUGAAUUAAUGCGAACUGCAUGCUCAUUUGAACAUCGACUUUUCGAACGCACAUUGCGGCCACGGGUUAGCCCGUGGCCACGUCUGUUCGAGUGUUGGUCUAUAAACUAUCACGACGCCCAUAAAGUCGUGGCCUGGGUCUUGCCAGCCGGUGUGAUUUCCCUUGUCUCGUCACGGGGGUGCCGGAUCUAUGGCUUUUCCUUAAUGUAUUCCAGACGCACACCUUGGCCCUUCGGGGUUCGAGGGUUGGCAGAGUCGUGGCUUAAUGUGUUGUAUAUAUAUGCACGUUCUGUCAUCGUGGCCUGUUUUGGACAAACUCUAUAUGCGCUUCUCGCGCUUCCCAACCUCGGAUCAGGCGUGAAUACCCGCUGAACUUAAGCAUAUCACUAAGCGGAGGAAAAGAAACUAACCAG